ACUCGGAAUAUUUCGAAAAAAUAGCAAAAAUGGGAUGAGAAUGAUUAAAUCCGAGCUAUAAACUUACAAAUCUUGAGGGAAAACAUGUGGAUCUGAAGGAGAAGACCACCUGGGAUUUUUAGAGAGAGAAAGGAGGAAUUUUGAAAGAGUUUGGGGGAAAAACGAAUGCUGUAACCAGAUAUAAAAGACGCGGCACAGUGUUUUGUACCGGUACACGGUAUUUUGUACCAAUACACUUUCACAGAUUUCGAAAAUUUUAAAAAUUUUCAUCAAAAAAAUCUCUCAAAAUCAAAUUAAUUUCAUAAAGAUUAAAGAUUAUACUCCACAAAUCAUUAU
RNAcentral lists this long non-coding RNA (336 nucleotides) under Ananas comosus (pineapple). RNAcentral's name for it is "long non-coding RNA (ACOM_LNC043809)". The record is from RNAcentral. Lineage: Eukaryota; Viridiplantae; Streptophyta; Magnoliopsida; Poales; Bromeliaceae.